AGUAGUUUGAUCAUGGCUCAGGACGAACGCUGGCGGCACGCCUAACACAUGCAAGUCGAACGGAGAUAUUUUGGUUUACUGAGAUAUCUUAGUGGCGGACGGGUGAGUAACACGUGAGCAACCUGCCUCUGAGAGAGGGAUAGCUUCUGGAAACGGAUGGUAAUACCUCAUGACAUAACGAAGCCGCAUGACUUUGUUAUCAAAGAUUUAUCACUCAGAGAUGGGCUCGCGUCUGAUUAGAUAGUUGGUGAGGUAACGGCUCACCAAGUCGACGAUCAGUAGCCGGACUGAGAGGUUGAACGGCCACAUUGGGACUGAGACACGGCCCAGACUCC
RNAcentral lists this ribosomal RNA (335 nucleotides) under Ruminococcus flavefaciens. Its description in RNAcentral is "bacterial SSU rRNA". It matches the Rfam family "Bacterial small subunit ribosomal RNA", at positions 1 to 339 of the family's 1533-position model. Lineage: Bacteria; Bacillati; Bacillota; Clostridia; Eubacteriales; Oscillospiraceae. The record is from RNAcentral.